GAUGAACGCUAGCGGCAGGCUUAAUACAUGCAAGUCGAGGGCUCAGCAAUGGGACCGGCGCACGGGUGCGUAACACGUAUGCAACCUGCCUGUAUCUGGGGGAUAGCCCGAGGAAACUCGGAUUAAUACCGCAUACCACUGAGUGUCGGCAUCGAUUUUCAGUGAAAGAUUUAUCGGAUACAGAUGGGCAUGCGCAGGAUUAGCUAGUUGGUGUGGUAACGGCACACCAAGGCGACGAUCCUUAGGGGCUCUGAGAGGAGUAACCCCCACACUGGCACUGAGAUACGGGCCAGACUCCUACGGGAGGCAGCAGUGGAAUAUUGGACAAUGGGGGCAACCCUGAUCCAGCCAUUCCGCGUGCAGGAUUAAGGCCCUAUGGGUCGUAAACUGCUUUUGUAUGGGAAAAAUCAUC
RNAcentral lists this ribosomal RNA (412 nucleotides) under uncultured bacterium. Its description in RNAcentral is "bacterial SSU rRNA". It matches the Rfam family "Bacterial small subunit ribosomal RNA", at positions 28 to 454 of the family's 1533-position model. The record is from RNAcentral.